GGAAGUAAAAGUCAUAACAAGGUUUCCGUAGGUGAGCCUGCGGAAGGAUCAUUAUUGGAUUUUGAAACUUCAGGCUGCUGCUGGCUCUCCUCGGAGGGCAUGUGCACGCUUGUUGUCCAUUAUUUCUCCCACUGUGCACAAAUUGUAGACCUUUCAGUAGGCCUAUGUUGUUUUUCACAAUCUCUGAAUGUAAUAGAAUGGUUUUGAAUCUUGGGAAAUACAAUACAACUUUCAGCAACGGAUCUCUUGGCUCUC
RNAcentral lists this unclassified non-coding RNA (255 nucleotides) under plant metagenome. Its description in RNAcentral is "partial contains small subunit ribosomal RNA, internal transcribed spacer 1, and 5.8S ribosomal RNA". The stretch from base 1 to 54 matches the Rfam family "Eukaryotic small subunit ribosomal RNA", at positions 1778 to 1831 of the family's 1831-position model. The record is from RNAcentral.